This 235-nucleotide ribosomal RNA is filed under the name Mnesilochus mindanaense. RNAcentral describes it as "partial 12S ribosomal RNA". The record is from RNAcentral. Lineage: Eukaryota; Metazoa; Arthropoda; Insecta; Phasmatodea; Lonchodidae.
UAAACUAGGAUUAGAUACCCUAUUAUUUUAAAUAUAAAAUUUUACUUAGGUAUUAAUAGUUUUGUUCUUUAAACCUAAAGAAUUUGGCGGUGUUUUAGUCUUUUCAGAGGAAUUUGUUUCUUAAUCGAUAUUCCACGUUUUAUCUUACUUUAUUUUGUUAAUCAGUAUGUAUAUCUCCGUUAUAAGUUUAUUUUUAUAGAAUUAUUUACUUUAUAUAUUAUUAUGUUUUAUUUCA